RNAcentral lists this transfer RNA (73 nucleotides) under Lachnospiraceae bacterium. RNAcentral describes it as "tRNA-Lys". It matches the Rfam family "tRNA". Rfam says of the family: Transfer RNA (tRNA) molecules are approximately 80 nucleotides in length. Their secondary structure includes four short double-helical elements and three loops (D, anti-codon, and T loops). Lineage: Bacteria; Bacillati; Bacillota; Clostridia; Lachnospirales; Lachnospiraceae. The record is from RNAcentral.
GAGGCACUAGCUCAGUCGGAAGAGCACUUGACUUUUAAUCAAGUUGUCCGGGGUUCGAGUCCCCGAUGCUUCA